Molecule: unclassified non-coding RNA, 201 nt
Filed under: uncultured Thelephoraceae
Lineage: Eukaryota; Fungi; Basidiomycota; Agaricomycetes; Thelephorales; Thelephoraceae
Description: sequence contains ITS1
Source: RNAcentral
CCGAAUUGUCGACACGAGUUGUUGCUGGUCCUCAAAUGGGGGCAUGUGCACGCUCUGUUCGCACAUCCACUCACACCUGUGCACCCUCCAUAGUUCUGCAGCCCUGGGGGCUCUGUCCCCCCCUGCCGUGGUUCUAUGUAUUUACACACACACUGUAAUAAAGUCUUAUGGAAUGCAUGCCGCGUUUAACGCAAUACAAUA